GAGGGGCUCGCGGCCUAUCAGCUAGUUGGCGGUGUAAUGGACCACCAAGGCUAUGACGGGUAGCUGGUCUGAGAGGAUGGCCAGCCACAUUGGGACUGAGAGACGGCCCAGACUCCUACGGGAGGCAGCAGUGGGGAAUCUUGCGCAAUGGCCGAAAGGCUGACGCAGCGACGCCGCGUGCGGGAAGAAGGCCUUCGGGUUGUAAACCGCUUUCAGGAGGGACGAAGCCACUCGGGUUAAUAGCCCAGAGGGUGACGGUACCUUCAGAAGAAGCCCCGGCUAACUACGUGCCAGCAGCCGCGGUAAUACGUAGGGGGCAAGCGUUGUCCGGAUUUAUUGGGCGUAAAGAGCGUGUAGGCGGCCAGGUAGGUCAGCUGUGAAAACUCGAGGCUUAACCUCGAGACGCCGGCUGAAACCAUCUGGCUAGAGUCCGGAAGAGGAGAAUGGAAUUCCUAGUGUAGCGGUGAAAUGCGCAGAUAUCAGGAAG
This 487-nucleotide ribosomal RNA is filed under the name uncultured Gemmatimonadota bacterium. RNAcentral describes it as "bacterial SSU rRNA". It matches the Rfam family "Bacterial small subunit ribosomal RNA", at positions 224 to 704 of the family's 1533-position model. The record is from RNAcentral. Lineage: Bacteria; Pseudomonadati; Gemmatimonadota.